GAUGAACGCUGGCGGCGUGCUUAACACAUGCAAGUCGAACGAGAGAAGAUUGGUGCUUGCACUGAUCCGAUCGAGUGGCGGACGGGUGAGUAACGCGUGGGUAACCUGCCUCAUACAGGGGAAUAACAGUUGGAAACGGCUGCUAAAACCGCAUAAGCGCACGGUAUCGCAUGAUACAGUGUGAAAAACUCCGGUGGUAUGAGAUGGACCCGCGUCUGAUUAGCUAGUUGGUGAGGUAACGGCCCACCAAGGCAACGAUCAGUAGCCGGCCUGAGAGGGUGAACGGCCACAUUGGGACUGAGACACGGCCCAAACUCCUACGGGAGGCAGCAGUGGGGAAUAUUGCACAAUGGGGGAAACCCUGAUGCAGCGACGCCGCGUGAGUGAUGAAGUAUUUCGGUAUGUAAAGCUCUAUCAGCAGGGAAGAUAAUGACGGUACCUGACUAAGAAGCACCGGCUAAAUACGUG
This 468-nucleotide ribosomal RNA is filed under the name uncultured organism. RNAcentral's name for it is "bacterial SSU rRNA". It matches the Rfam family "Bacterial small subunit ribosomal RNA", at positions 28 to 507 of the family's 1533-position model. The record is from RNAcentral.